This 507-nucleotide ribosomal RNA is filed under the name uncultured bacterium. Its description in RNAcentral is "partial 16S ribosomal RNA". It matches the Rfam family "Bacterial small subunit ribosomal RNA", at positions 28 to 507 of the family's 1533-position model. The record is from RNAcentral.
GACGAACGCUGGCGGCGUGCCUAAUACAUGCAAGUCGAACGCAUUUUCUUUCACCGUAGCUUGCUACACCGAAAGAAAAUGAGUGGCGAACGGGUGAGUAACACGUGGGUAACCUGCCCAUCAGCGGGGGAUAACACUUGGAAACAGGUGCUAAUACCGCAUAAUUCCAUUUACCGCAUGGUAAAUGGAUGAAAGGCGCUUUUGCGUCACUGAUGGAUGGACCCGCGGUGCAUUAGCUAGUUGGUGGGGUAACGGCCUACCAAGGCUGCGAUGCAUAGCCGACCUGAGAGGGUGAUCGGCCACACUGGGACUGAGACACGGCCCAGACUCCUACGGGAGGCAGCAGUAGGGAAUCUUCGGCAAUGGACGCAAGUCUGACCGAGCAACGCCGCGUGAUUGAAGAAGGGUUUCGGAUCGUAAAACUCGGUUGUUAGAGAAGAACAAGGAUGAGAGUGGAAAGUUCAUCCCUUGACGGUAUCUAACCAGAAAGCCACGGCUAACUACGUG